UGUCGCUGCCCUCCUUGGGCGUUUCCUCCCUAGACUUGGGCCGUUCGCUUCGCGGACGGCCCCUUUCUUUUUGGGCC
This 77-nucleotide small RNA is filed under the name Azorhizobium caulinodans ORS 571. Its description in RNAcentral is "Makes More Granules Regulator RNA (mmgR)". It matches the Rfam family "Makes More Granules Regulator RNA (mmgR)". Rfam says of the family: SuhB later renamed mmgR (makes more granules regulator) was a putative non-coding RNA found multiple times in the Agrobacterium tumefaciens genome and related alpha-proteobacteria. Other non-coding RNAs uncovered in the same analysis include: speF, ybhL, metA, and serC. The record is from Rfam by way of RNAcentral. Lineage: Bacteria; Pseudomonadati; Pseudomonadota; Alphaproteobacteria; Hyphomicrobiales; Xanthobacteraceae. RNAcentral also lists the same sequence under 1 other name.